Molecule: transfer RNA, 85 nt
Filed under: Treponema sp.
Lineage: Bacteria; Pseudomonadati; Spirochaetota; Spirochaetia; Treponematales; Treponemataceae
Description: tRNA-Ser
Rfam family: tRNA
About the family: Transfer RNA (tRNA) molecules are approximately 80 nucleotides in length.
Source: RNAcentral
GGAGAGAUGUCCGAGCGGUUGAAGGAGGCGGUCUUGAAAACCGUUGUGCUGAAAAGCACCGGGGGUUCGAAUCCCUCUCUCUCCG